RNAcentral lists this ribosomal RNA (716 nucleotides) under Lysinibacillus sphaericus. RNAcentral describes it as "bacterial SSU rRNA". It matches the Rfam family "Bacterial small subunit ribosomal RNA", at positions 61 to 758 of the family's 1533-position model. Lineage: Bacteria; Bacillati; Bacillota; Bacilli; Caryophanales; Bacillaceae. The record is from RNAcentral.
GUCGAGCGAACAGAGAAGGAGCUUGCUCCUUUGACGUUAGCGGCGGACGGGUGAGUAACACGUGGGCAACCUACCUUAUAGUUUGGGAUAACUCCGGGAAACCGGGGCUAAUACCGAAUAAUCUGUUUCACCUCAUGGUGAAAUAUUGAAAGACGGUUUCGGCUGUCGCUAUAGGAUGGGCCCGCGGCGCAUUAGCUAGUUGGUGAGGUAACGGCUCACCAAGGCGACGAUGCGUAGCCGACCUGAGAGGGUGAUCGGCCACACUGGGACUGAGACACGGCCCAGACUCCUACGGGAGGCAGCAGUAGGGAAUCUUCCACAAUGGGCGAAAGCCUGAUGGAGCAACGCCGCGUGAGUGAAGAAGGAUUUCGGUUCGUAAAACUCUGUUGUAAGGGAAGAACAAGUACAGUAGUAACUGGCUGUACCUUGACGGUACCUUAUUAGAAAGCCACGGCUAACUACGUGCCAGCAGCCGCGGUAAUACGUAGGUGGCAAGCGUUGUCCGGAAUUAUUGGGCGUAAAGCGCGCGCAGGUGGUUUCUUAAGUCUGAUGUGAAAGCCCACGGCUCAACCGUGGAGGGUCAUUGGAAACUGGGAGACUUGAGUGCAGAAGAGGAUAGUGGAAUUCCAAGUGUAGCGGUGAAAUGCGUAGAGAUUUGGAGGAACACCAGUGGCGAAGGCGACUAUCUGGUCUGUAACUGACACUGAGGCGCGAAA